This 493-nucleotide ribosomal RNA is filed under the name uncultured bacterium. RNAcentral describes it as "bacterial SSU rRNA". It matches the Rfam family "Bacterial small subunit ribosomal RNA", at positions 30 to 515 of the family's 1533-position model. The record is from RNAcentral.
AUUGAACGCUGGCGGCAUGCCUUACACAUGCAAGUCGAACGGUAACAGCACUUCGGUGGCUGACGAGUGGCGAACGGGUGAGUAAUACAUCGGAACGUGCCCGAGAGUGGGGGAUAACGCAGCGAAAGCUGUGCUAAUACCGCAUACGAUCUACGGAUGAAAGCAGGGGACCGCAAGGCCUUGCGCUCAUGGAGCGGCCGAUGGCAGAUUAGGUAGUUGGUGGGAUAAAAGCUUACCAAGCCGACGAUCUGUAGCUGGUCUGAGAGGACGACCAGCCACACUGGGACUGAGACACGGCCCAGACUCCUACGGGAGGCAGCAGUGGGGAAUUUUGGACAAUGGGCGAAAGCCUGAUCCAGCCAUGCCGCGUGCAGGAUGAAGGCCUUCGGUUGUAAACUGCUUUGUACGGUAACGAAAGGUACGUUUCUAAUAAAGUAAGGACGUCAUGACGGUACCGUAAGAAUAAGACACCGGCUAACUACGUGCCAGCACG